Long non-coding RNA from Bos indicus x Bos taurus (hybrid cattle), 323 nucleotides. NCBI's taxonomy places the organism in Eukaryota, Metazoa, Chordata, Mammalia, Artiodactyla, Bovidae. The record is from Ensembl.
CUGGAUUAGAUAGUAGUGUCCUAAUUGAUAAUGAAGGGUUUGAACUAACAAAUGAGUCUUGUUUGGAGGGAGCCUUGCUGUGGAGCAUGUUAGGGGAGGAGAUGAAGUCAGUGAGUGCUCGGGCUCUAGACUGAAAGGGACUUGACUCUGAACCCAGUCCUGAAGCCUUAGUGGUGGCAGAAGGAAACCAUGAGAAAAUCUGCUUUCUGAAAAAUCAUGUCUUGACUCACACAGUGUUUCUGAGGGAAAGCAGUGGAGCCUGCAGGUGGGUACAUUUAAUAAAGGAACUUUGCAUUCACAAGUGCCUUUGACCUAUGAUUCAU